Dalotia coriaria is the source of this 579-nucleotide long non-coding RNA. RefSeq lists it as uncharacterized. NCBI's taxonomy places the organism in Eukaryota, Metazoa, Arthropoda, Insecta, Coleoptera, Staphylinidae. The transcript has 2 exons. The record is from RefSeq and is a predicted model, not a curated record.
CGUUCGCGGAGCGCGGUCUUAUUUUCCAGUAGUGCCUAAUUUGUAGUUUCACAAUAAUACUUGCAAUAAUAUACGAUUUCUACUAUUUGCGCUUAGCGCUGUUGUGUAUAAGUAACUUGUAUUAUCGUAUUUAGCAGUAUUUCAUGACGCGGUGGCAGUUAAUCUAAGUGCGCUUGCUCCGUACAAGUUUAGUCAGUUCCUAUCGACGGUGCGUCCGAAGUAUGUAUUUUUGUGAGUCGUUUGGUUUAUUGAAAUUGUAUUUCAGUAAAUCGCGUGUUUAAGAGUACCAGUGCUAGAUGUUUUGUUAUCGAGUGUAGCGUGCCAGUAUAACGGCGUGGGAUUUAAUUUUUCUGGUCUUUCUAGAACGUGUUCUCGGAGGAUAGCCGCACGAAGCUUGAUUCAAAAUGUGCGAGAUUUGGAAACUUCAGUAGGGUAUUAAAAGAAGUUAUUACUCAUGGAAAUAAACUUCGCUUGUAUCUCGUGUAGAAAGAUAACUAAUGCCGGAACAAUAAAUUAUUAACAUAAAACUAUACUUUUGUGAUUGUCGGACUUUUAAUAAAAUAUAAGUUAACAUUUCAA